UUUUAAACUUCAAGCGUGGAGUGAUGCUCAGUUGAAUUGGUCUUGGUGCAGCCUUACUUGAAGACCAUCCCCAGGAGCUCUCAUUGCCAUAGCACGAUAGAUAUCCUUCUGUCUUACUGAAGCUGGGAUCCUUGUACCACCACACUUCUGUCAUCUUUUCCAUUCUGGCUUGAGACGUGGUGAGCUGAUUCCUGUUGCAUCUGGCAUUUCUGAACUUCCCAGGUUUCUUUUCAAAGGCUGGAUACUGUAAUAGAACACUUUAAUUUUGGUGUAACCUGCCAGAGUAUUUCUGAACCUCUCCCCUGAGGAAGGAAGCGUGUGAAUAACUGAAGUCACCUUUACUGGAAAUCAGUUUGCUGAAACUAUUGAAAGAGCCAUUCUUGAAGUUGAAGAAAAGGAGGUUCUGCACCUUCACCGGAGGAGUGUGGCCCUUCCUUCAAAACGCUCUCUGGACGCACCCUCCUAGCAUCCCCGAGGGAA
Molecule: non-coding RNA, 480 nt
Organism: Ceratotherium simum simum (southern white rhinoceros)
Lineage: Eukaryota; Metazoa; Chordata; Mammalia; Perissodactyla; Rhinocerotidae
Source: RefSeq, a predicted model, not a curated record